RNAcentral lists this long non-coding RNA (2420 nucleotides) under Homo sapiens (human). Its description in RNAcentral is "HSALNT0404049". Lineage: Eukaryota; Metazoa; Chordata; Mammalia; Primates; Hominidae. The record is from RNAcentral.
AGAAGCUUUCGCCUCCGCCUUCAGACUGGCCCUCAGGCUUCCCUGCUCAGAGGCAGGGAAUUGUGCAGCUGGAGUUUCAUUUUCCAAGAGGCAGGGUCUCAGUCUGUCACCCAGGCUGGAGUACAGUGGCACCAUCUUGGCUCACUCUAGCCUCGACCUCCUGGGCUCAAGUGAGCCUCCUACCUCAGUCUCCCAAAAUGCUGGGAUUACAAGCAUGAACCACUGUGACUUGCCUUCUUGGCAAUUUUAAAUGAAAGAAGAAGAUGGAAUAAUGCCUACUGAGGACUAUGUUUGAGGGGUGUUGUAUGACCCCGUUUUCCAUACCCAGCCAACUUGUCAUGUGACAAGUCCACAGAAAGAUGUUAUAUGACAGGAAUCUAUGAACUAGUCUUCCCUGAAAUGUACCUGACUACAGCUAACAUCAUAUCACAUGAUGAAAGACCGCGUUGUUUUCCCCUGAGGUUGGCACUGCAGCUGUGGGUGAUUCGGAUGGUCUGUUGGUGGAAUGUGGAGCUGGACGGGUCAAGGAGCACAGUGUGGAAAGAGGGACAAUUUGCUACAAGUUGGAGAUAAGAGACAUGGCAUACUGUGAAACCAGUGCUGACGGAAGAAGGUGACUUUCUUGGAAGGUCAAGACACUUGCUUGACAGCGAUGUCCAGGAGGGCUAGGGAGAGUUCUGCUGGAAGUGAAGGCAGCACCUGAGGGUGGCUGAGGGAACUGGUCAGGGCUGGGAACGCCUCCAGCCCUUUGAGGAAUGAUUCGCUGAUUAAGAGAUGUUUGGCCUUGAAAAUUGCAAGAAUGAAAUCUCUUGGUGGGAAUGUGUAGCCAAAAGCCAGCACCCUGAGUGGCUCCAAGGUUUGGGGACCCUCUCAAGGCACAAAUCCCAGUUCCUUUUCAAUUUUGAAAAUCGUUGUGGGCGAUUCUGGAAUUGAGAAGUGUGCUGAGAGCCAUGGAUUUAACAUGACAAGAAUUUCCGCCCCUUCGUCACUGAGCACACCGCAAAUGCUCCAGGGCCAGGGACUUACUUGGGCUUCUGCGUGUCUUCCACAGUGUGCAUCAAUCCGCCGGGCUCUGGUUGGUGUUUAAAAAAAAAGAUGCAGCGAAGGAAUCUGGUGUGGACAAACGCCCUGGGCAUGGACCAAAAGCCUGGCCCUUGUGUCCCUGGCAAUGGGACGGUGAAGGACAGAAAGACAGCACAUCCAGUAGUGUCAGGAGCUUGGAGCAGGCAUUCGGAAGCAUCUGUUAAAUGUUAUUGAUGGAGGAUUGACAUAACCCACAUCUGCAUAGCUUUUUUGGUCUGUUUUUGGAAGUGAACAGUCACAAACAAAAACAACUUUGGUUCAGGUCAUUUAUAGGCCCAGAUCCUCUAUCCUUAGAGGUUUCCCACCAGAUAUACUAUUUCACUAUCUAUGCCAGGAAAGUUACGUAAAACCACGCAGAAUUUUACCUGACAACGAAAUAGACCUUUUCGUUAGAUCCUCCACCCCACCUAAAGCAGUUACACAGGCUGAAAUGAAACUGUUAAAGGAAUGAACUAACUUGGAGAUAGAAUCAUCGCCUUUGCUGAACACCAUUUUAAGAAUAUUGGAAUAUAUAGGGGUACCAGCAUAAUAGUAAAAUGUGCCCAUAUUAUCUAUAAUUUUAUGCUGGGCACUUUUUAGAAAUUAUUUUUUAUAACUUUGUCUUUGAGAUGAUUUGGCUACAAGUUCAUUACAUUUAGUUUACAACUGGCUUUGAUUUCUUGGCAUUCGUUGUGUAUUAUUAGGAAACCCCGCAGAGAGAAAAUGUAAACUCCAAAUUGCUUUAAAAUAUUAUGAUAGUUUUUAGGGAUAUUACACUGUGACAGUGAAUGAAAUGGACGUAACGUUCUGUUUUGUAGAUAUUUUGUGAAAUCUUUAUUAGUCUUGAUUUUCUUUGGAACAAGUCAUUCCUGUUCUGGGCUGAAGCCUGAAAAUUCCCUGACCUGUGACCCUGGCCCAAGGCUCCUCUUGGAUAAAACAGUGUUUCCUGGACCAGAGGGCAAAGUCACAGAAACAUGAUGUGACGAAAUCUAAAUAGAAAGGUAUUGAUUUGUUCUUCGUUCAUCAAAUAGUUAUUGGACUCCAGCACGUAUGAGUAGCAGGGAGCCUGGCUAGCACUACACCUUCCCCUCCUGCCUCUCAGGGUCAGGGCCACAGGCACACACAGAGCGAGGGAAAAUGAGGGGGUAGAGAGGCUGGUCCCGAGUCUCCAGCCCUUCUCUCCCAAUCCUCUCCCUGAGUGGGCAGGGAACUCUUCUCUUGGCUCCUCCAACUUCCAUCAACGUCUGCCCUUGGGUCUGGUUUUAAACUCUAAGGUGUAAAUGACUCAUAAUGGCUCAACAUUUUGUCCCUCCCAAGAGGUAUUUUUAAGUCUAAGGAAUAAAGAUUUAAUAGUAAAA